RNAcentral lists this ribosomal RNA (427 nucleotides) under uncultured Rhodocyclaceae bacterium. RNAcentral describes it as "partial 16S ribosomal RNA". It matches the Rfam family "Bacterial small subunit ribosomal RNA", at positions 355 to 774 of the family's 1533-position model. Lineage: Bacteria; Pseudomonadati; Pseudomonadota; Betaproteobacteria; Rhodocyclales; Rhodocyclaceae. The record is from RNAcentral.
UGGGGAAUUUUGGACAAUGGGGGCAACCCUGAUCCAGCCAUGCCGCGUGAGUGAAGAAGGCCUUCGGGUUGUAAAGCUCUUUCGGACAGAAAGAAAACGCACGGUUUAAUACAUCGUGUGGAUGACGGUACUGUCAUAAGAAGCACCGGCUAACUACGUGCCAGCAGCCGCGGUAAUACGUAGGGUGCGAGCGUUAAUCGGAAUUACUGGGCGUAAAGCGUGCGCAGGCGGUUUUGAAAGACAGGCGUGAAAUCCCCGGGCUCAACCUGGGAACUGCGCUUGUGACUACAAGACUAGAGUACGGCAGAGGGGGGUAGAAUUCCACGUGUAGCAGUGAAAUGCGUAGAGAUGUGGAGGAAUACCGAUGGCGAAGGCAGCCCCCUGGGCCAGUACUGACGCUCAUGCACGAAAGCGUGGGGAGCAAACA